Molecule: transfer RNA, 102 nt
Filed under: Shimwellia blattae
Lineage: Bacteria; Pseudomonadati; Pseudomonadota; Gammaproteobacteria; Enterobacterales; Enterobacteriaceae
Description: tRNA-???(gtcc)
Source: RNAcentral
GUUGGCGUCUGGCGUGCGUGGGUUGGUCGGGGUGCAGCUGUCCCGCAGCGCCUGGCCUGUCAUCUCUGGCAGGCGGCGGUUGAACUCCGCCGCGUCAAUGCC